GCUUCCUACGGGAGGCAGCAGUGGGGAAUUUUGGACAAUGGGCGCAAGCCUGAUCCAGCAAUGCCGCGUGAGUGAAGAAGGCCUUCGGGUUGUAAAGCUCUUUUGUCAGGGAAGAAACGGCCGCGGCUAAUAUCCGCGGCUAAUGACGGUACCUGAAGAAUAAGCACCGGCUAACUACGUGCCAGCAGCCGCGGUAAUACGUAGGGUGCAAGCGUUAAUCGGAAUUACUGGGCGUAAAGCGUGCGCAGGCGGUUUUGUAAGUCUGACGUGAAAUCCCCGGGCUCAACCUGGGAAUUGCGUUGGAGACUGCAAGGCUGGAGUCUGGCAGAGGGGGGUAGAAUUCCACGUGUAGCAGUGAAAUGCGUAGAGAUGUGGAGGAACACCGAUGGCGAAGGCAGCCCCCUGGGCCAAGACUGACGCUCAUGCACGAAAGCGUGGGGAGCAAACAGGAUUAGAUACCCUGGUAGUCCACGCCCUAAACGAUGUCUACUAGUUGUCGGGUCUUAAUUGACUUGGUAACGCAGCUAACGCGUGAAGUAGACCGCCUGGGGAGUACGGUCGCAAGAUUAAAACUCA
This 576-nucleotide ribosomal RNA is filed under the name uncultured bacterium. Its description in RNAcentral is "bacterial SSU rRNA". It matches the Rfam family "Bacterial small subunit ribosomal RNA", at positions 334 to 903 of the family's 1533-position model. The record is from RNAcentral.